AAAUACGCCAGAGGGAUCCUGGAGGACUGACGCGGAGAAGGGUUUCAUGUGACCAGUGGUUUGACAUGAAGUAUCCCGAUCACUAGGCCGGCAAGAAAAAGAAGCACACUAGCAUCACGCCCGUCACUAGGCCGGCUUUCGCCUGCGGCUUAGGCCGGUUCUUUUCAACAAACACGCCUCGCUCCUUUUCUUUCCUUUCACCCAUCUGGCUAGGGACUAUAGAAACGAAAGAGGGAAAGAAGCGCGCGCCGAAUCCUCCCAAACAAAGNNNNNNAGCGCCAUCCAUUUUCAGGGCUAGUUGCUUCGGCAGGUGAGUUGUUACACACUCCAGAGCGAAUUCCGACCUCCAUGGCCACCGCCCUGCUGUCUUCACCCUCCAAACCCCUGAGCGGAUUCCGCCCUCCAUGGCCACCGUCUCGACUUCCAUGACCACCGUCCUGCUGUCUAAAUGAACCAACACCUUUUGAGGGAUCUAGAUGAGCGAGUAGUUUGGCACCGUAACUCCACGUCCGGUUCAUCCCGCAUCGCCAGUUCUGCUUACCAAAAAUGGCCCACUAGAAGCUCUCAUUCAAUGUCUAGGUUCAAUUAAGUAACCUAAACUUCUUACGUAUUUAAAGUUUGAGAAUAGGUUAAGGAUAAUAUAUCCCCAAGGCCUCUAAUCAUUCGCUUUACCUCAUAAAACUGAUAUGAGCUUCUGCUAUCCUGAGGGAAACUUCGGAGGGAACCAGCUACAAUUCGCUUUACCGGAUGAAACUCCGUUUGUUCUCCGAGCUCCAGCUACCUGAGGGAAACUUCGGGGGGAACCAGCUACUAGAUUGUUCCCCCCGAAGUUUCCCUCAGGAUUCUCAAACUUACAAUGGGUGAGAAUGGGUUGAGGUCGUUUCGACCCCAAGGUUCGAAACGACCUCAACCUAUUCUCAAACUUUCAAGCCCGGCCUGCAUUUCUUGAUUGGGGCCGUGGGAAUGAUUUUAUUUUGAAUCUGAGCGCCCAGUGGGCCAUUUUGAAUCUGAGCGCCCAGUGGGCCAUUUUUGGUAAGCAGAACUGAGCCGCCCAUGGGCCAUUUUUGGUAAAGCAGAACUUCUGAGCGCCCAGUGGGCCAUUUAUUAGCAGUUUUAUCAGGUAAAGCGAAUGAUUAGAGGCCUUGGGGUUGAAAUAACCUCAACCUAUUCUCAAACUUUAAAUAGGUAAGAAGCCUGGCUUGCUUAAUUGAAGUCAGGCAUUGAAUGCAAGUUCCAAGUGGGCCAUUUUUGGUAAGCAGAACUGGCGAUGCGGCCAGCCCUGAAAAUGGAUGGCGCUCAAGCGUGAUACUUAUACUUCGCCGUUGCUGUAAGAGACUAUACCGCAACGAGUAGGAGGGCGUGGAGGUCGUGAAGCAGCUUAGGGCGUAAGCCUGAGUGAAACGGCCUCUAGUGCAGAUCUUGGUGGUAGUAGCAAAUAUUCAAAUGAGAACUUUGAAGACCGAAGUGGAGAAGGGUUCCAUGAGAACAGCAUUUGUUCAUGGGUUACUCGAUCCUAAGACAUAGGGAAAUUCCUUGUAAUAUAUGAGCUCUUACGAGUUCGUUGUCAAAAGGGAAUGAGGUUGAUAUUCCUCAAGCUGAAUGCGGAGGUUUCGUGGCAACACAAACAAGCUUGGAGACAUCGGCAUGUGCAACUGGAAGAGUUCUCUUUUCUUCUUAACAAUCUAUCUCCCUGAAUGGAUUAUCCAAAGCUAGGGAUAUAUGGUUGGCAGAGCAGUUCACCAUCGAACUGUCAGUGAUGCUCAUGACGAUCCUUGAAAAUCCAAGUACGGUGAUCCUUUCGCAUCAGGUCGUACCCAUAACCGCAUCAGGUCUCCAAGGUUAACAGCCUCUGGUCGAUAGAAUAACGUAGAUAAGGGAAUUCGGCAAAUUAGAUCCGUAACUUCGGGAAAAGGAUUGGCUCUGAGGAUUGGGUGUUUAGACCCCUACUUGGACAGUGGAAAUUAAUUAGGACUUGCCGUAAGGCAGGACCUAGUUUUUUGAAAUUAGAAUUGUAGGGAGUUCUUGCACAAGUAACAAUCGACUCGGAACUGAAGCGGACAAGGAGAAUCCGACUGUUUAAUAAAAACAUAGCAUUGUGAUGGAGUGAAAACUUGUUGACACAAAGUGAUUUCUGCCCAGUGCUUUGAAUGUGAAUAUGAAGUAAUUUGUAGAAGCUCAGGUAAACGGCGGGAGUAACUAUGACUCUCUUAAGUUCAACGAAGCGCGGAACCACGGAGGGAGUAACUAUGACACUCUUAAGGUAGCAAAAUGCCUCGUCAUCUAAUUGAGUAACUAUGACUCUCUUAAGGUUAGCCAAAUUCCUCGUCAUCUAAUAAGCCAUGCCUCGUCAUCUAAUUCGUGACGUCUAGCUAGCGAAUAACGAGAUUCCCCCUGUCCCUAUCUACUAUCUAGCACCCCACUGCGAGGGGAACGGGCCUCGUUUUGUCCCACUGCGAGGGGAACGGGCCUCGUCUUGUCAGCGGGGA
RNAcentral lists this ribosomal RNA (2486 nucleotides) under Daphnia magna. RNAcentral describes it as "eukaryotic LSU rRNA". The stretch from base 580 to 2486 matches the Rfam family "Eukaryotic large subunit ribosomal RNA", at positions 1 to 2403 of the family's 3401-position model. The record is from RNAcentral. Lineage: Eukaryota; Metazoa; Arthropoda; Branchiopoda; Diplostraca; Daphniidae.